This 1009-nucleotide ribosomal RNA is filed under the name Escherichia coli. Its description in RNAcentral is "partial 23S ribosomal RNA". It matches the Rfam family "Bacterial large subunit ribosomal RNA", at positions 604 to 1617 of the family's 2925-position model. The record is from RNAcentral. Lineage: Bacteria; Pseudomonadati; Pseudomonadota; Gammaproteobacteria; Enterobacterales; Enterobacteriaceae.
CCUUUUGUAUAAUGGGUCAGCGACUUAUAUUCUGUAGCAAGGUUAACCGAAUAGGGGAGCCGAAGGGAAACCGAGUCUUAACUGGGCGUUAAGUUGCAGGGUAUAGACCCGAAACCCGGUGAUCUAGCCAUGGGCAGGUUGAAGGUUGGGUAACACUAACUGGAGGACCGAACCGACUAAUGUUGAAAAAUUAGCGGAUGACUUGUGGCUGGGGGUGAAAGGCCAAUCAAACCGGGAGAUAGCUGGUUCUCCCCGAAAGCUAUUUAGGUAGCGCCUCGUGAAUUCAUCUCCGGGGGUAGAGCACUGUUUCGGCAAGGGGGUCAUCCCGACUUACCAACCCGAUGCAAACUGCGAAUACCGGAGAAUGUUAUCACGGGAGACACACGGCGGGUGCUAACGUCCGUCGUGAAGAGGGAAACAACCCAGACCGCCAGCUAAGGUCCCAAAGUCAUGGUUAAGUGGGAAACGAUGUGGGAAGGCCCAGACAGCCAGGAUGUUGGCUUAGAAGCAGCCAUCAUUUAAAGAAAGCGUAAUAGCUCACUGGUCGAGUCGGCCUGCGCGGAAGAUGUAACGGGGCUAAACCAUGCACCGAAGCUGCGGCAGCGACACUAUGUGUUGUUGGGUAGGGGAGCGUUCUGUAAGCCUGUGAAGGUGUGCUGUGAGGCAUGCUGGAGGUAUCAGAAGUGCGAAUGCUGACAUAAGUAACGAUAAAGCGGGUGAAAAGCCCGCUCGCCGGAAGACCAAGGGUUCCUGUCCAACGUUAAUCGGGGCAGGGUGAGUCGACCCCUAAGGCGAGGCCGAAAGGCGUAGUCGAUGGGAAACAGGUUAAUAUUCCUGUACUUGGUGUUACUGCGAAGGGGGGACGGAGAAGGCUAUGUUGGCCGGGCGACGGUUGUCCCGGUUUAAGCGUGUAGGCUGGUUUUCCAGGCAAAUCCGGAAAAUCAAGGCUGAGGCGUGAUGACGAGGCACUACGGUGCUGAAGCAACAAAUGCCCUGCUUCCAGGAAAAG